Molecule: transfer RNA, 68 nt
Filed under: Schrankia costaestrigalis (pinion-streaked snout moth)
Lineage: Eukaryota; Metazoa; Arthropoda; Insecta; Lepidoptera; Erebidae
Description: tRNA-Phe
Source: RNAcentral
UAUUUAAAUAGCUUAUAAAGAGUAUAGUAUUGAAGAUAUUAGGGAGAUAAUUUUUAUCUUUAAAUAUU